This 714-nucleotide ribosomal RNA is filed under the name Triticum aestivum (bread wheat). RNAcentral's name for it is "partial small subunit ribosomal RNA". Lineage: Eukaryota; Viridiplantae; Streptophyta; Magnoliopsida; Poales; Poaceae. The record is from RNAcentral.
AUGAAGGCGGGGACAACACCGCCGGCCAGCAGGGCGGCCGGCCUGCGGACGCUGGUGGUGCACGUGCUGGCGGUGGCGGCCACGGCGCUGGUGCUGUUCUGGUGCAUCGGAUUCCGCGGCGGCCUUGCCUUCCGCUCCAGCGACAAGCAGCGCAUCUUCAACGUCCACCCGCCGCUCAUGCUCAUCGGCCUCGUCGUCAUCGCCGGGGAGGCCAUCCUCGCCUACCGCACCUUCCCGGCCUCCGUCAGCCGGGACGCCAGGAAGAAGGCGCACCUGGCGCUGCACGCCGCGGGGCUCGCCGUCGGCUUCGUCGGCGUCUACGCGGUCUUCAAGUUCCACGCCGAGGCCGCCAUCCCCAACCUCUACUCGCUGCACGCCUGGGUCGGCAUCGCCACCAUCACGCUCUACGCGCUCCAGUGGCUCGCCGGCUUCCUCGCCUUCUUCUUCCCUGGCGCCGCGCCGGAGACCAGGCGGUCCGCGGUGCCGUGGCACGCCGUGCUGGGGCUCCUCGUCUUCGCGCUCGCCGUGGGCAACGCGCAGCUCGGCUUCCUCGAGAAGCUCACCUUCCUGCAGUCCCCGCCCGCGCGCCUCGUCGGCAAGUACGGCGCCGAGGCGCUGCUCGUCAACUUCACCGCCGUCAUCGUGCUCCUCCUCGGCAUCGCCGUCGUGAUCGCCACCGUCAACGCCGACUCCACCAGAUACACCGCCAUGUGA